CACGUAGGUGGCAUCGUAAGUCAAAGGUGAAAGCCCUCGGCUCAACCGAGGAAUUGCCUUUGAAACUGCCUUGCUUGAGUCCGGGAGGGGGGAGCGGAAUUCCCAGUGUAGCGGUGAAAUGCGUAGAUACUGGGAGGAACACCGGUGGCGAAGGCGGCUCUCUGGACCGGUACUGACACUGAGGUGCGAAAGCGUGGGUAGCAAACA
Molecule: ribosomal RNA, 207 nt
Filed under: uncultured bacterium
Lineage: Bacteria
Description: partial 16S ribosomal RNA
Rfam family: Bacterial small subunit ribosomal RNA
Source: RNAcentral